This 743-nucleotide ribosomal RNA is filed under the name Pyrodinium bahamense. RNAcentral describes it as "partial Eukaryotic large subunit ribosomal RNA". It matches the Rfam family "Eukaryotic large subunit ribosomal RNA", at positions 1 to 679 of the family's 3401-position model. The record is from RNAcentral. Lineage: Eukaryota; Dinophyceae; Gonyaulacales; Pyrocystaceae.
ACAUGAUCUUAAGCCAGUAAACCUGCUGAAUUUAAGCAUAUAAGUAAGCGGAGGAAAUUAAACCAAAUGGGAUUCCCUAAGUAAUUGCGAAUGAACAGGGAUUUGCUCAGCAUGAAAAUUGGGGCCUUCGGCUUCGAAAUGUAAUUUCAAAAUGUAUUGCUAACGGAAGUGCAGAUGCAAGCCUUUUGGAAGAAAUGCAUGAUUCAGGGUGAGAUUCCUGUUUGUCAUCUGCAAUCUUCUGUGUACGGCGUAUGUUUCAAGAGUCACGCUCCUUGGGAUUGGAGUGCAAAGUGUGUGGUAAAUUUCAUGUAAAGGUGAAUAUAUUUUUGAGUCCGAUAGCUAACAAGUACCAUGAGGGAAAUAUGAAAAGGACUUUGGAAAGAGAAUUAAAAAAGCCUGAAUUUGCUGAACAGAAAGUAAACAGAACUUGUUUCCUUGGUGAGAUUGUUGUGUGUUAGUGACAUAGGUCACCAUGCACGCAGUGGUUCUUGCCAUGUGUGUCAGCUCCAUUUUGCAAAUCAAUAAUUGUUCUAAUGUGUGGUAAUCUGCCUGUGGGUGUGUGACUGCUUUUCCUUGCGAUUAUUUGUAAAAUGGAAUGUUGUGUCUGGUGAUCUUGUGGCUGUUACCUUGACAUGUGUGCUGCAAGUGUGCACCUUCUGGAACAACCCACAAUCCCUGAUGCACUGGUGCUGGCAAUGCUGUUCUGCUUGACCCGUCUUGGAACACGGACCAAGGAGUCUAAC